This 497-nucleotide ribosomal RNA is filed under the name Desemzia incerta. RNAcentral describes it as "bacterial SSU rRNA". It matches the Rfam family "Bacterial small subunit ribosomal RNA", at positions 27 to 504 of the family's 1533-position model. Lineage: Bacteria; Bacillati; Bacillota; Bacilli; Lactobacillales; Carnobacteriaceae. The record is from RNAcentral.
GGACGAACGCUGGCGGCGUGCCUAAUACAUGCAAGUCGAACGCUUCCUACCGGUGCUUGCACCGGGAAAGAAGAGUGGCGGACGGGUGAGUAACACGUGGGUAACCUACCUACAAGCGGGGGAUAACAUUCGGAAACGGAUGCUAAUACCGCAUAGAUCUUUUUGUCUCCUGGCAGAAAGAAGAAAGACGGUUUCGGCUGUCACUUGUAGAUGGACCCGCGGCGCAUUAGUUAGUUGGUGAGGUAAUGGCUCACCAAGACGAUGAUGCGUAGCCGACCUGAGAGGGUGAUCGGCCACACUGGGACUGAGACACGGCCCAGACUCCUACGGGAGGCAGCAGUAGGGAAUCUUCCGCAAUGGACGAAAGUCUGACGGAGCAACGCCGCGUGAGUGAAGAAGGUUUUCGGAUCGUAAAACUCUGUUGUUAGAGAAGAACAAGGAUGAGAGUAACUGCUCGUCCCUUGACGGUAUCUAACCAGAAAGCCAUGGCUAACUAC